CGAGUCAGGCUCUUACUGCUCCGGCAGACAGCGAAGGUAGUUUUGAGCUGUGAGCGUAAACUCGAUUUGUGUCAUAUCAUGCCACACUUCAGAAUGAGCUCAGUCAAUAGUCUAUCAGGCUGGCAGCUGCAGGAAUGCACACAGAGAAAAUGAGGACAAGCGGGGGGGAAAAAAGACAGAAAAAUCCUGACAGGCUGCCAGAACAGAAAGAAGUGAAGUAACAUAAUCAUUCGCAGAGCAUGAAGGUGUCUCGAAAAUUGAGUGUGAAAACCAACUCACAUGACCGCAGCAGCGACAUGCCCUAAAUUUCCCUCUCCCCCUUCUGCUUUAAGAGCAAGUAUAAAUGAUUAUUAAUGCAUUAUUCACAAAACAGAACCUUCUCCCCCAAUUUUUUUUUCUCCACUGAUGUGCGCCUUCUCCCUUUGAUGAUAUAACCAAAGUAAGAGGGGAGAAAAGUGAGGGAGCACAGAGACGGAGAAGUUCAGAGGAUGGCUUUUUUCUCUUGGGAAUGCAGAGCUCUCAUCCCAAAGGGAAUCCUGCACUCUUCUGAAACAGUCUGAAUCUUCCCGUAGACCAAACAGCAGCAUUUACAUAUCACUCACAUAACCUCUCUCUCCGCCAUGACUGCAACAAAUGCCGACACCGUCAGCGCUUAUAUCCUCUGGCUGGCUUUCCAUGACACAGGCAGUUAUUAUCCUGAGGGAAAAGGCCGCAUGUGGUGCUGCUGCUGUAGCCCUUGGUCUGCAUGCCAAAUCCUCACCAGCCGCCAAGAUCAUCACAGACCGUUGCCUCACUCCGUUUCCACAGCCUACAGUUACAGUAUGUACACAAACCGCAGUUUAUUCAGCACUGUGUUGGACCUGGCAUAACAGCUUUAACACGCCACAAUAG
This 891-nucleotide long non-coding RNA is filed under the name Oreochromis niloticus (Nile tilapia). RNAcentral describes it as "lncRNA (ENSONIG00000042825.1)". Lineage: Eukaryota; Metazoa; Chordata; Actinopteri; Cichliformes; Cichlidae. The record is from RNAcentral.